This is a long non-coding RNA of Grus americana (Whooping crane), 288 nucleotides long. RefSeq lists it as uncharacterized. The transcript is spliced from 3 exons. The record is from RefSeq and is a predicted model, not a curated record. Lineage: Eukaryota; Metazoa; Chordata; Aves; Gruiformes; Gruidae.
ACGUGACAUUCUACGUGGAAGUGUCAGUGAUGUGACGGUGUCUGAUAGCUCUACUUUGCAGUGUGGUGGCAACGUUCUUCUGCAAUAAUUCACUUGCAGAGGAGCAAGCCCCACGUCUGGGGACAGGAGUGAUCAGCGAUUUCAAACCAGGCCAUGAACUGACCUUGUUGCAUGUCUUCCACGAGAGAGGUGACACGUGUGCAGGGCAGGGAGGGAGAGACGCUGAACAGCUCUGAAAGUUUUCCAAGUGGUUGUCUCUGGGAGGGAAUUCUCCUGCGUGUGGCUGAG